CCAUGCAGAUGGUGGCCGCGGCGAAACUUCGCCGCGCCCAGGACGCUGCAGAAGCUUCUCGUCCAUACACAGAACGGUUCAACGCCGUUCUGGGUGGGC
This 99-nucleotide transfer RNA is filed under the name Cognatishimia activa. RNAcentral's name for it is "Thalassobius activus tRNA-Ser". Lineage: Bacteria; Pseudomonadati; Pseudomonadota; Alphaproteobacteria; Rhodobacterales; Paracoccaceae. The record is from RNAcentral. RNAcentral also lists the same sequence under 1 other name.